UUAAUUUCAUUUUCCUUUCCUCUUUCACUUUUAUUUUCCCUCUUCGCCGUCGCCGACCCACUCUUCACGGUCGUCGGCCUUCUCCUCGCCGUCGUCGGACCUCUCUCACCGUCGUCAGAUCUCUCCAUCUUCACAAACCCUCUCUAUCUUCACAAACUAUUUUAUUUGAUUUUUAUAAAAUUUAAAUAUUAUUUAAACAACAGGUUUUUUAUGUAAAAUAUUCAAUCAAUUUGUUAAACCCGAACCCGGACCUGACCAAACCCGACAUCAAAACCGGGUCCGGGUUCAAUGUUUUUUGACCUUCUCGGGUUUUGACCCGAACCCGAUUUGAAAACUCGGGUCCGGGUUUAGGCAUACCCGAGGGAAACCCGACCCAUGCCCAAUCCUAGUUGUAAACUAAUAAUAAUUCAAUGCAAUUACUGUUUACAAGAUUUUAUUGUAAACUAACGGGUAUUUCCGUUAAAACGAAAAUCCCUAUUUUCUUCCCCCUUUUCUUGUGCACAUCACCCAGUAGCUAUUCCGGCAAGCACACUCGCAAGACUUCUCCAAUACUUGGGCAACGCCUCUAGCAAUAGAUUUUAAUUAAGAGCCCAUGCCUCUACGAGUAGUCGGCCGUUAGCCAUGGGGAUAUGUGCCUUGACGUGGAGGAUUUCUUCAAUUUUCAGAGACGACAAUCAGAACAGAGGACGACCGUGUGAUCGUAAUCGCACGGCAGCGACAGCACGCACCGUCCGGCGAUCUUCGGACGGACGUACCGUUCCUGAAAAUUUUAGUAUAUAUAUAUAGCUUUGAUUAAAUAUAAAAGUAGAGUUGUGAUCAUUUUUGAAGUCAUAUAGAAUCUCAGUUCCUCCAAGUCUACCCGGACUGAAAUUCAACAAAAUCUCCACAAGGUCUACUUGAAAAAAAGAUAAAGGGUAUGCAAAUUUAAUAAAUCACUAUAUGACCUCAAAUAAGCUUUAAGAGGAGUUCUCUUAGAUAUUGGUUUCUCCCGAGCAAAAUCUAAUUAUUCCCUCUUCAUAAAAGAGAAAAAAUCAAAAUAUUUUAUCUCAUUGUAUAUGUGGAUGAUAUCAUCAUCACAAUCACAGACAACAAUGAGUUAGAAAUUGGAAUAAUAAAAAUUCAAUUGGAAAAACAAUUCAAACUAAAAGACCUAAGAAAAUUGAGUUAUUUUCUAAAAAUUGAGGUGUUUUAUUUACCAUACCCCAUAUCCUACCAAAGUGGCCGAGUAUCGGGUAUACCCAAAGUUUUAGGGUAAUAUAAAAUAUAAAAAAAUUAUACCCAUACCUUACCUAUUUUGUCGGGUGAUAGACGGGUUCUGGAGGAAGAGAAUAUUGUUAAUGACAUCCGGGGACAACUGGAUCUGGACAUGGAGGAGUGCACGGCCGAGCUAGACGAAACAGAGGUUGACUGUGGCAAGAUGGAGAGCGCACGACCAGUCAGAAAGAAGGAGUUAUCAUCGCUCCCAAAAGGAUAUGUUCUUAAUUGAAUAUCCGUUAAGUUUAGUCAGGUCUGCUUAUGAUAUUACGUAGGACCAUUUUUAUUAUCGUAGUCCUGAAAACAUGUAACCUUAUAAAAAGCAAACCAUUAUGUUUCAGUUAAUUUAAUUAAUCAAUUUAGUUAAACUAAAAACGGAACCAAGAAACCCUAGUCGAAGAGAAUUGGAUAAAAGUCUUGUUGGG
This 1679-nucleotide long non-coding RNA is filed under the name Zostera marina. RNAcentral describes it as "long non-coding RNA (ZMAR_LNC005295)". Lineage: Eukaryota; Viridiplantae; Streptophyta; Magnoliopsida; Alismatales; Zosteraceae. The record is from RNAcentral.